CACCCAUCCAGAGCGGCCGAGAGAUCUGGCUCGACGACGCCGCAGCAACCAGCCCGCCGACCCCGGACUCACGGGAACGGCAGGCCCGGUGCUACCGCCAGGAACGAUGGAGG
Molecule: non-coding RNA, 113 nt
Filed under: Micrococcus sp.
Lineage: Bacteria; Bacillati; Actinomycetota; Actinomycetes; Micrococcales; Micrococcaceae
Also listed under: 1 other name
Description: SAM-I sequence
Rfam family: SAM riboswitch aptamer (S box leader)
About the family: The SAM riboswitch is found upstream of a number of genes which code for proteins involved in methionine or cysteine biosynthesis in Gram-positive bacteria.
Source: RNAcentral